This is a long non-coding RNA of Rosa rugosa (rugosa rose), 4400 nucleotides long. RefSeq lists it as uncharacterized. The transcript is spliced from 2 exons. NCBI's taxonomy places the organism in Eukaryota, Viridiplantae, Streptophyta, Magnoliopsida, Rosales, Rosaceae. The record is from RefSeq and is a predicted model, not a curated record.
UGUAAAGCGAUAGCUUUUCAAAGGAAUAUUUUUAAGCAUGUACCCGUUUGGAUCAUACAAAGAAGAAGAAGAAUAAAUAAAACCUUGUUUAAAUAUGAGAUCUCCCACCCUUCCCCAUUCCUCCUCCACCUAGCUGUAAUUGGGAUCUAUAAAAUUCGGGUAGCCAUGAAUAACAAGAUUGUGCUUAUCAAACUUAAUUAAUGGAUCUGAAACACCAUAUCUAUAAACAUGGCAUCACCAUCCAUCCACCAAAUCCACUCCACCUCGAGAUGUGAAAGCAUCAGUUUCCUAAUCAAAUGCAAUUUGGCCCAAUACCCAACAAGUUCCGUAUCCAAAUGAGCUAAAUUAUAUACAAUCUCAAAUUCAUCUCCUCGAUUAAGUUUUGGUUCAAGGUCGUCGGCCUCGGAGCUGCCGAGAUUGCUCACUCUGAUGAUGCCAUGUAAGAUCAGGAUGGUGACGAAGCCGCAGAGGAUGGUGACGAAGCCGCAGAGGAUGGUGAUUUUGAUGUUGUUGAACGUGUCUUUCAGGAUCUGGUGGCGGAGGUCAUGGCGAAGGUAGGUGAUGGACUUGGGUAGACGUAUGGAGAUUAUUUAGAAGAAAAGGGAGUGCUUUAGGGUGCGCUUCGGGGAGCUUUUCAGCUCUCGUGCUUAUAAGCAAAUCCCUGGUUGGUGUUUUGGUAAACACCCUAACAGCCUGUUUUGGAAUGAAAAUUGGAAGCAGCCAAUGGAUUCCUUUUGGAAGCAGAAGCCGCGGGCGUACUGUAGCGGCCAUUUAAUGAAAUUUUUGAAAUUCCAGUCGGUACCGUCAUGAGCUUCAAGUAAUUACACGACCAACCUCGAAAAGACGCAUCUUCUCAUCCUCAACUCUCUGUCUCUUCUCCGUCAACUCUCUCUCUCGGUGGUCUACGGACAACGUCAUUCCUCUAUCGGCGCCUCCAUCUUCGCACUCCCCUGUGGCCACCUCGAGUUCAGUAAGGGGACUGGUGUUCAUAUCUGACGAAGGCAAUGUUGGGUUUUCAGUCGGCAUUCUUCAAUUUCAUGCCUUUCUAGCAGUGGUGUUGUUGGUAAUCUGUACCUACAGUCCUACACAUAUGUGAAAAUUGCAUUUCCACCACUUCUUGAGAACAAAACUGGGUAUGUUAGAUUCUGUUUACUUGCUUACUAGUGGCUUAGUCUGAGGGAUAAAUGGAUUCAAUGUCUAUUUAAAAUGACUAUAUUACAGUGAUCUGCUAAACUAAUAUGAUUUGAUAUAUAAUUUUAAAUUGCAUUAUAUUUUUAUGUCUCAAAACACUGAAAGUUAGAAGGUGUUGAAAGCUUGAUCGGUUUCCAUUGUGAAUCGAGUAUAUGAAAUGGGGUUGAGCCUCCCAGCUUGACUGGAUUCCAAACCCCAUUUAAAAAAAAAAAAAAAAAAAAAAAAGUAUAUGAAAUGGUGGAAGGUGUUGCUAAUACUUGAUAGAUAAGGUGUUCAGGCAUCGGAGAAAAGAGGUGAUGUUCAAAGUCGCAUACAAGACACAUGAUAAUCAGCCAUGUCAAUCGUUGCUUCACUUGCUUGCCAAGUUGUUUAGUGUGGUUCAAUUUUAUAAUGUACUCCUAAUUUCCUAUAUAUUUGCCCUUGUUUAAUGUUGAUGAUGGAUGAAAGUUUAACUAAUCAAAGAUCGAGUAUUUUGACCCCUUCAUUCAAACUUUGAAACUUUAUGUUUCUUUAAUUUUUAAAAGGAGAUAAGUUUUUGGGUGCCAAGAUAUGAGCAACAAUAAUUGGAGAUAUAAAUGUGGUCAAUAUGCAGUCCAAUUAGGGUUAGUUGGAGUGGAUUCCCAGUGUCUUCGGAAAACUCAGAUGCCACAUAAAUUUGAUGUGGCUGCAACCAUGCCAUCUAUCACAAGGUCAUUGGGACCUUUGAUGAUUAGCUAGUUAGCCAUUGCUAUAAUACAUUGAUACUUGAGCAGCAUAUCAUUCCCUUUCCCCCAAAAUUUCUGAUCUUAGCUUCUAUCCUUUCACAUUCUGAUGAAUCUGAUCAGUAGGGUUGGCCCUGUUUAUGCUCUACUAUAUAUAACAAAUACAUGGCACUACUCUAUGUUUUUCCAUACUUGUCUAACAUAGCAAUUGUUUGUGCAGCUAUCUAAGGCGUGGCCCGGGGUGGCAAUUCCCGGAGGUGGUAGGAUUGCUGUAAUACCCUGAAAAUUCGUUAUUAAUUUCUUGAAAUUUCUGAAAAUUAAUAAAGUGUUCGUUAGUACGAUUUCGUGGUUCGAGGGUGGAGUAGAAUUAUUUUCAGACGAAUAAUUUUUUGAAAUGCAUGGUUUUAGGGGGGCACGAAGUUUGACUUUUUAUACGUUGGGUUUCUCCGAAAACUUCCUUCACGAAAGUUGUAGAACACUAGAGCGCGUGGAUACGAGUUCGUGCAUAUGCGGAACGCAAAUAUCGGAGUUUGUAUGAAGAAGUUAUUGCAUUCGUGAAAAUUUUCCAUUUUUGAUAAAAGGACGAAAGUUUUCAGAAAUUGCAAAGAAGGCCACAUUUCCAAAUUUGGAAACUGAACCUCAUGUUUAGUCUCUCGACCAGAAAUCGCCCGAUCCCUUUGACCAGCGAUAUAUUAGUCGUCCGGCCACCUUUGGACGAGCUACCACCGGCGCUGGCUUCGUCUCUUCCUCCUUUAGCUCCUCGUGGUAGCAUCUCCUCCCUUCUCAGCGUCUACGUGGUGGAGCACGGCGAGCCCGAUCCAAAACCCAGUUUAAGGUCAACGCCGAUAUCUUCCAUCUACAGCCAUCAUAGCUCAAGCCACUUGGCUUGUUAGAGUCGGCUGAAGAUGCUGGUCAUGCUCCCCAAAGGAUUCGAGCUGAAGUGAAGUCUGGAGGGAGAACCAAAGCUCAUCGGAAAACUGGGCAAAAAUUCCGACCGAGCUCCUGUUUGGAUAAUUUUUGACCUCUUAUGCUUUGAUUUAGACUUGAUGCUAGUUGAGAAAAUUGUAGGACAUGUUGAGACGAAGAGUUGCAAGUAGGUUUCACCACCUAACUCGGUGGUUGACGGCGGCGCCGCCGCCUACUGUGGCGGUGCUUUGCGGCGACUUCCGGCCACUUUAGUAGGGACAGUUUCUAUUCCUGAUUUCGAUCUACUCGUCGAUACGAGCAUUUCAAUAUACAACACUUAAUUUUUGGAGAUCGUAUGAGCAUGUUAGUGUUUUAGCAUUUUAGAUUCGAUCGGUUUUCGAUCUGUGAGGAUCCGGCCGUUCGAUCGACUUGUAGCUUUGAUAUAUUGAUCGUAUAAGUAUUCCGGAGACCUUGAGUGGUCUUGGAUGAAGUUUCGCCUCGAUUGGCAUUAGUUUCAAGGUUUUAGUUCAAACAGGGGUUCGAACUUUAAUCGCGUUGUGAUUCGUGUGUUAAAAUGUGACAUUGAUGUGACUAGGUACAUGGCGAAGUUGUUCUAGACAAAUUGUUGUGCUUGUGUUAUCUCGUACAGUGUGUGAAAAUGCAGCGGGAUUUAGAGCUGAGUAAAUUUCACGAGAUUCAUUAUGUGGUAGUUGAGUGAUUGUUGUUAUUGAUGGUUGAUGGUGUAUUAUUUUCUAGUUUAUUUCUAUUAUUGAAUUGCUUGUUUCUUUCGUAAUCUCCUGAACUAAAUUAUAUGUAGGGAUUACUGUUUUCUGAAUUGGUUGGUUUUAAUGUAAUCUCCUGAACUAAACUAUAUGCAGGGAUUACUAUGAUUUUGGAUUGUGUGCUUUGGUGAUCUCCUGAACUAAUUUUUUUAAGCAAGGAUUACUGGUUUUAUUUAGUUUAAUUUGUGAGUGUAGUUGUGGAUGAGACUUGUAGUGAGUCGAGAAAUGUUUUAUCACAUCGUUGUGGUGAUAAAUGCUUCCUGUCGAGAGGAAAUGAGUAAUUUCUUUGAUUUGUUGUUGAGCUUUCAAAUGAUUUGGUUUGUCACGGUGGUAACCUGUGUUUUCCUUAAAAAGAAAAGGAUUUUUCUUUUGGAAAUAAUCAUUGUCUUGAUUUGUUGUCAUUGAGUAAGAAAGGUGUUUUGUGGUUAUUAGGGUUUACUCACAUGAGCUUGCAAAAGCUUACCGGGUUUGUUGUUUUAACCUGGUGCACUAUUCCAUGGUGUAGGGGUUAUUGUGAAGGUCAGAGUAACGAGUAACAUUGGUCGAAGCUGAGGCCUUGUUGCUAUCGUAGCGCGCGUGGACGUAGAAGUGUACUUUAGUUUUAGUCUUCCGCUGUGUAGUGAGUGUGGUGGGUGUGUUACUUAUUGAAUUGUUGUUCAGUUUAAUUUGUAAACUCUCUGUAAUGUAAUAUGUGACUCUAAAGAAUGAGUCGGUAUUGAUAUUGUGAGCUCGAUUUUUUUUUUUGGAGAAAGAAAGAAAGCUGAGCUCGAUUUGUUUUGUUGCUUAGUUUAAAUGAAAAAUUUUCUAAGUGUUCUUUUUA